AUGUUUAUAUUUUAUCGCAUAGGUCCCUUGAAAUUUUGAGGUUUCUUAGAGAUGGCCCUAUUUAUUAUCGUGUUUUUUUCAUUUAUAUUAUAUGAAUGUAUGAUAAACAAAAUUUGGGAUACCCCUAAAUUUUUCUUUUAGAUCCGCCACUGAUCAAGAGCUGUGAUGCCUCUUCAUGCCUAAUACGAUAUAUUAAGGUUUAUCAAGAGCCAUUAAAUAAUUGUCAUGACUCUUUAUACCCUAUAUGACACACAAGGCCGUUCCAAUGUUUUUGAAGGCACUAAGCGAACUACAAAGUCAGGGCCCUAUUGAAUUGGUAUAAAGAAAAUCACCAAUUCAGAUUGAGAUUUGAGACAUUGAAUAACCAUAGCGAUGAUUUUUCUCAAUUUCUGCCUAAUUUCGUCCAAUCCGCAAUCAGUUUCACAUUAGUUAUUUAAAAGGCGUCGCAAGUAACGAGGUUUGGUGUGUUGAAGCGUGCAAAGACAAUGUGGAUAAAUUAAAAUUUAUGUAAAUAAAAUAAAAUUUGGAGGCCCUUGUUUUGGAUGGCCUUAGGACUUAGCCUAGGUUGAUAAGCCUAACGGACCGGCCCUAAUGACACAUCAAGACAUAAAUGACUCAUUACAAACUAAUCUAACUAUUUAAGAACUAAUAUGACCUGCUAAGACCCUACUGUCCCAUGAAUGAGAUAUAAUAACUCUUUAGACCAAACAUUACCCAUUACAACUUCAUUAAGAGCUAUGAUAACUCUUAACAUUAAUUAAAUGGUUGUAUUAAGACAUAUAUUACUCAUUAUAACUCAUUACAAAUUAUAUUGAUCAACCAGACUCAAACUUAUCAAUCAUGAACAUAAUUCAUAAACCUAACACAUGAUUUUAAUCAAAUAAAGUCAAACUUGAUCAACUCAAUAGUUCAUUAAAGGAUUUAUGGAUAUAAAUGAUUCAUACCAAGAACUAGUUUUUCAAAUGAGUAUUUAUUGUCUUUCUAAUUCUUUAGAAAGUAAAAAAGAAAUUUUAUUUUUAAAUAAUUGUUUCUUCUUUUGUAUAUUUGUUAAAUUAUUUUAAAAAAUCUAAGUUUGAUUUUAAUUUUCCUCUCCCAAUUCAACCUAGGGAUAACCAGUACCAUCACUGAACCAUGUCAUACCAAGGCAUUUUCCGUAUCAAUUUUAUACCCACUUUUGAGAUUUUUGGGAUCGGCACUUUCGGUUCAAUACGGUAUCGGUAUUUUGGCUUGAUUUGCCUUCAAUAUCGUACCAUACCAUACUGAUGACUUUCAGCACUGAUACCGAUACUCAUUUUUUACGGUUCCCUUCUAAUUUUAUCCGUAUCCCCAACCUAAUUUUAAAUCUAACGGGGUGUUUGGCUUAACUUUUCCAAACUUCUUAUGACUUUUUGUAAAAGUUAACAAGUCACAAUAAAGU
Molecule: long non-coding RNA, 1417 nt
Filed under: Helianthus annuus (common sunflower)
Lineage: Eukaryota; Viridiplantae; Streptophyta; Magnoliopsida; Asterales; Asteraceae
Description: hypothetical non coding rna
Source: RNAcentral